GGAAUAUUGCACAAUGGGCGCAAGCCUGAUGCAGCCAUGCCGCGUGUGUGAAGAAGGCCUUCGGGUUGUAAAGCACUUUCAGCGAGGAGGAAGGGUUCAGUGUUAAUAGCACUGUGCAUUGACGUUACUCGCAGAAGAAGCACCGGCUAACUCCGUGCCAGCAGCCGCGGUAAUACGGAGGGUGCAAGCGUUAAUCGGAAUUACUGGGCGUAAAGCGCACGCAGGCGGUUUGUUAAGUCAGAUGUGAAAUCCCCGCGCUUAACGUGGGAACUGCAUUUGAAACUGGCAAGCUAGAGUCUUGUAGAGGGGGGUGAGAAUUCCAGGUGUAGCGGUGAAAUGCGUAGAGAUCUGGAGGAAUACCGGUGGCGAAGGCGGCCCCCUGGACAAAGACUGACGCUCAGGUGCGAAAGCGUGGGGAGCAAAACAGGAUUAGAUACCCUGGUAGUCCACGCUGUAAACGAUGUCGACUUGGAGGUUGUGCCCUUGAGGCGUGGCUUCCGGAGCUAACGCGUUAAGUCGACCGCCUGGGGGAGUACGGCCGCAAGGUUAAAAC
This 553-nucleotide ribosomal RNA is filed under the name uncultured bacterium. Its description in RNAcentral is "partial 16S ribosomal RNA". It matches the Rfam family "Bacterial small subunit ribosomal RNA", at positions 358 to 900 of the family's 1533-position model. The record is from RNAcentral.